AGUGAACGCUGGCGGUAGGCCUAACACAUGCAAGUCGAACGGCAGCACAGUAAGAGCUUGCUCUUACGGGUGGCGAGUGGCGGACGGGCGAGGAAUACAUCGGAAUCUACUUUUUCGUGGGGGAUAACGUAGGGAAACUUACGCUAAUACCGCAUACGACCUACGGGUGAAAGCAGGGGAUCUUCGGACCUUGCGCGAUUGAAUGAGCCGAUGUCGGAUUAGCUAGUUGGCGGGGUAAAGGCCCACCAAGGCGACGAUCCGUAGCUGGUCUGAGAGGAUGAUCAGCCACACUGGAACUGAGACACGGUCCAGACUCCUACGGGAGGCAGCAGUGGGGAAUAUUGGACAAUGGGCGCAAGCCUGAUCCAGCCAUACCGCGUGGGUGAAGAAGGCCUUCGGGUUGUAAAGCCCUUUUGUUGGGAAAGAAAAGCAGCAGGUUAAUACCCCGCUGUUCUGACGGUACCCAAAGAAUAAGCACCGGCGAACUUCGG
This 491-nucleotide ribosomal RNA is filed under the name uncultured bacterium. RNAcentral's name for it is "partial 16S ribosomal RNA". It matches the Rfam family "Bacterial small subunit ribosomal RNA", at positions 29 to 506 of the family's 1533-position model. The record is from RNAcentral.